AUAUAAAAAAAUAUAAUUAUUUAUUAAAUAUAUAAAAGUAUAAGUUUUUUAAAAUCAAUUUAUUUUAAAACCGAAAGGGUAAUUAAUUUUUUUUUUUAAAGUAAAUGUUUGUACCUUUAGCAUAAGGGAUUUUCAAAAAAAGAUAAAGUUUUAUUUUUUUCGAAAUUAAUUGAUCUAUUUAAUUUAAAUAUAAAAUUAUAUUUAAAAAUAUUUUAAAAAAUUAAAUAGAAGUGAAAUUCUUAUCAAAAUUAAAGAUAUCUAAUUUUAAAAAAAAAUUAAAAAUUUUCUUAUGACAUAAAUAUUUAUUAAAUAUCCUUAUAAGUAAAUUCAUAAGGGAUAAGCUUUAUGAAUUAAUUAUAUAAAUUUAUUUUUUCUUUAAAUAAGAAAUAGAAUUUUUCUAUUAUUGUUAUAAAUAAUUUUUUUUUUAUAAAUAAAAAAUAAUAUUUUUUUUAAAAUUAAAAACCUAUUUAAAUUUCAAUAAUGAGAAUAUUAGUAAAAUGUUUAAUUUUUUUUUAAAAUAAAAUUUUAUUAUUAAUGAAAAUUAAAAUAAUUUUAAAGAACUAGGCAAAAAAUUUUUUUGACUGUUUAUUAAAAACAAUGUAUUUAGAAAGUUAUUAAAUAUAAAUCCUGCUCAAUGAAAAUUAAAUUGCUGUAGUAUUUUGACUAUACAAAGGUAUUGUAAUAAGACUUUAAUUGAGUGCUAAGAGAAUGGAUUUUCAAAAAAAUUCUUUUUUAAAUUUAAAAAUUGAAGUUAUUUUUAUUUGUGAAGAAACAAUAAUAAAAAUUAAAGACAAGAAGACCCUAUGAAUUUUUAUAAAUUUUAUAAUAAAUUUUAUAAUAAAAUUUAUUUAAUUGGGGCGAUUUAAAAAUAUUUUAAACUUUUCAUUUUAAAAAAAUGAUCCAUUAAUAGUGAUUAUAUGAAAUAAAUACUCUAGGGAUAACAGCGUAAUAAUUUUAGAUAGAUCUUAUAGAAAAAAUAGUUUGCGACCUCGAUGUUGGAUUAGGAUUCUUAUUUAAUGAAGAAGUUAAAAAAAGAAGUUUGUUCAACUUUUAAAUUCCUACAUGAUCUGAGUUUAGACCGAUGUGAAUCAGGUUGGUUUCUAUCUUAAUUUUAAGUAAAUUUUAAUUAGUACGAAAGGAAUUUUAAAAUAAAAUUUUUUUAUUAAUAAACAGUUUUUGCAUCAAUUUUUGGAAUUAUUAAAGUGACAGAUAAAAUGUGAGGAAUUUAAGCUUCCUU
This 1237-nucleotide ribosomal RNA is filed under the name Haemaphysalis montgomeryi. Its description in RNAcentral is "16S ribosomal RNA". The record is from RNAcentral. Lineage: Eukaryota; Metazoa; Arthropoda; Arachnida; Ixodida; Ixodidae.